CUAGGGGACCCAGCAGCCUCUUCUCAGACGGGGUGAGGCGCUGAGUGAGGCAGCAGUUGAAGAUCGUCUUCAACUCUGCCUCGUUGAACUCAGCCGUCUCAGCCACCGCCGAGAAUGCCCCGGCGAACUCCCGAUUCCCGUAGUUCCCCUGGCGGAACCUAGCAGCAAGCGGGCUUGAGCGGACCGUGAGGACGACGCCGUGCCGUCCAUCUUGCUGCCCGCUGGGUUCUGAUUGGGGUCGGUCAUUCUGUCAUGAAAUACGUGGUGGAGAACCCAAAUGCAGGCAGGCAGUGAUUAAGGGGUUAACCCCUUAAUCACUGCCUGCCUGCAUUUGGGUUCUCCACCACGUAUUUCAUGACAGGUAACAGGUGCGGGGCAUGAACUAAUAACGAGCACUAACAGGAAACAAGAGGGCAGGAACAAUGAGGAGACCUGGAGAGAGUAUGGCAAGCCAAUACGGCCAAAACGCCUCUCUCCACAUGAAACAAGAGGUUCUGCCAUGGCUCUGCCACAAGAUCAAGAAAAGCAAUACAAGAUGGGGCAGAACCAUGACACUCUGUGGAAGAGAUUGGACAUUGCAGCCUUAAUGAGUAAAGGAGAAGACAAACGCCGGUGUUCACUGACAUGAAUUUCCCCUUUUUUUGUGCCCCAGACACAUCAUUUUUUUCAUGUCACCCAGGAAGACUUUCAAUGUAACGUAUUUUGAUACGCAUUAUCUUUCAUAUGCAUGAAUAUAUGCAAUCUGAUGGAAAUUCAUACCUAUUUUACAAGGUGGCUCAUUUGUGUAAAUUCCAAUUUCCUAUGAUCUCAUUCGUAUGUUUUGUUAUGAUUUCACUUUUCCCCUGUGACGUUAGGUUUAGGGGCGAGGUUAUGGUAGCUAUUUAUCGUUGUUUUGUCACCUUGGUAAAACUCACAUUUUUGUAUUGAAUUAUUUUUAUUACACCAUUAUUAUUAUUAUUAUUCAAUAAUAAUAGUAUUUUGUGCCCAUUCUGUGUGUGGGGAAAAAAGAGAGAGUACAACGUGUUCAGAGCAAACUUGACAUAGGCUACUUCCUCUGCUUUGAAAUGAAAAAAGUUGUUCCUGUCUUUGUGUCAGAGCUCUGCAGAAGGGUUCAUUUAAAUGCUGUGUGGAGGGCAGCAGAAUUUAGAAUUAGUUUAAUCAAGUCUACAAUAUGAGGAUUAUUCAAAUUCAGCUUUGUGAGUUUAUGUUAUGAAUUGUAUCAUGUGUUUUGCAAUCUUGAAUUUUUUUUUAGAUACAUUUUUUUAUGGCUUUUACUUUUAUGAUGUUUUUUAUGAUGUUUUUUAUUGUCAUUUAUAGAUGUAUUAAUUUGGUGUCAAGCUACAGAGGCUUUAGAUCAACUGACUGAUUUGGGACAGAAUGUGACUAUAAACUGUGAUCUGGAUGCAAAUGAAGUUUAUUGGAUUUUAUUGAAACAAUCAGAUUCUCCUACAGUGAUACUGCGCUCAUUCUCAAAGUCAGCCCAUUACUUUAAUAAAACACUGAAAAACAAAUAUUCAGUACAAUCUAAACAUCGUCUGGUCAUAUAUAACGUCACUGUAGAUGAGUUAGGAGUUUAUUACUGUAUGAACACAGAUACACCUCCUAAACUCAGUCACAGCACAAGACUGAACAUCAUUGGUAAGUGCAUUUGUUCCAAGGUUAAAAAUAUACUGUACUGUUAAUUUGUUAGGAGUGUAUGAUAAUGAUAAUAUUAAUAUUAAAUUAUUAAACCUUAAAUUGUUUUUAAUAAAAUCAUUAAUAAAUAAGAAUCAUUAAAAUCAUUAAGAAAUAAAUGUGAUAUACAUAUUUGUAUGUGUCCUUAAAUAGUAACAGACAUAAUUGUAACAGAGUGCACAAACUUCAUUACAGCUGAUAUAACUUCAAGUUACACAACUUCUUCAAGUCAUACAUCUCUGUAUGUAGCAGAGAAAAACUCAAAACAGUGGAAGACUUUUACUCUCAUAUCUGGUCUGCUGAAUGCUGUUCUGAUAAUUACAAUCAUGGGACUGUUAAAGGUUUAUGUGAUUGGAAAUGGAUGCUCGAAAAAAUAUGGAAGCAGGUCAGGACACCAUUCUAACACUGAUCUACAGCAGACACAAGUAAUAGAACAAACUCAAGACACAAUUGAACUACAGUAUGUAGCGGUGGACUUUUCUAAACUGCGUAGAAAUAUUCGACCCUGCCAUGACAACAGCACCUAUGCUGCUCUAAAUCUGCCAAAAUCAUAAACAAGAAUAAUACUGAUCUCAUAUUUACUGUAUCUGUGUCCAGGAUUAUUAACCAGUAAUGGAUUGUUUAACAUAAGUUAUUUGCUUCUUUGCUUCAGUUUAUAUCAAAUCUCUGUGAUCAAUGAGCAUUUUUACCUCAUUGGUUGCUUGCCUAUGAUCCGUCACCAAUACCGAAAAGUAUACAUUUUGUGUCAAUGCAGCUCUAGAAUUUUUAUGCAACAAUUAUUCAUAAACUGUUGGCAUAUUUAGCUCAUAAGAUGUUAACCAGAUGACCACAAAACACACUUAAACAUUAGAUAAACACACUUAAACAUUCUCAAUUGUGGCCUGUGUGUUGCAAUAAAUGUAUCUUUAGAAAUAACUGAAACUGGCUGAAACAGCUUCUGUAAGCAGCUGGUUGUUUUAUUUUUCUCACCAUUUCUUCUGAAACUUGUAUCUUGACAGACAUUGAAGUUCAUAGAAUAGAGAAUGGACUACACAUUAUUUAUUAUUUCUGAGAGUAUUCCAAGUCAUUGGAAUUAAACAAGGUUUUAAAUGAAAAAGAUUUCCUUUGGAGGUCAGGUCUACUACCUUUUUUGGAAGUCUGAACAAUACAAAUGCAACAUUUUAGUGCUUACCAAAAAGAAAGAGUAGGCUACAUACACAUAGUUAAACUCAUUGUUCAAUUAAGCAUUCAACCAAACUUAGAAAUGUGUUCCACUGGUUUGGUCAACCAGUGACUGAUAGAAUCUCACCUUUGACUACACUAAUACGGUAAAUAUAAAAUAUAUAAUGGAUCUGACUUAAAUAGAAACAGGUCAGCAUUUCAGUGUGUUCUCUGGGGUUUAAACAUCAAUAAUGAUAAAAAUAAAAUAAAAUAAUACAAAUAAUGAUGAAAAUAAAACAUAUCCUUCAAUUUGAUUUCCCCCGUUUUGUAAAAGCAUUAGUGCAAUAUAGACCGGGCCAUAAUGUAAUUUGUCUCAAAGCAUGAUUAAUAUCUUUCUUUUAUUAAGGGUUGAGUACAGUAUUACUUCAGCAAAUUUUAGUUUUGUUUGUAUUAUUAUACAAAUGCACCCACAAUGUUUAUACUGUAUCCUUAUUUGCUCUUUCAUUAUGGAGAAGUGGAAUUUUUAAAGCCUAUUUGUCUAUAUAUGUCAUUCUUUCAAAUAAUUUUGAAAAAAAAUCAAACGUAAAUAGCAUAGUUACUAAACAUAUUGGUAAACAACCUCUUUUUUAAUGUUCGCAACUCUAGAAAUGUGCGAAAAAACUGACCACAAUGUAGCUGCUGGCAGUUAUGGGUUCUAGCUCACAAUUUAACCCUCACUCAAAUGUCUGCAAAAGAAUCAUGAGUUAUCAAAAGAAGUUGAAUGAUACAUGCAUUUUUCACAAAGCGCUCUCCAUAAAAAAAAUGUUUCAUGCUUUUGUAGUAAUAAAAUGCAUUUUGCACAUGGUAUGUCCCAAUAAAAAAAAGAUUGAAAAAAGAAAGAUGUAUGAGUAAGCAUAUGCAAAGGGUAAGUAAACUUAAACUUAAACCAGAAAAUAAUUCCACUGUUUAGUCCCUCUGCAAUGAUUAAAUAGAGUCUCACCUUUGACUAGACUGAAGGUUUAACCUUGUACCGAGUGCAGUGUGUUUCUCAGACCUGUAAACAUUUGUGUAUAUCAGUGGUUUAAACCUCAGAUGGAAACAGGGUGGCAUUGCAGUUUGCUCUUUGCAAUGAUGCUCUGUGUGUUUGUACACGUGUACUUUUGUGUCUAGAUUUAACUAGACCAUGGAGUCACGAAUCAGAGCUAAAUACAGUAUUUUAGAAUGGACAGUGGGUUUUCAGAAAAUAACUUGUUGAAAGAUUAAACAUUAGUAGGCUUGCUUUCAGUUAUGCAUGAUUUCCCAGUACUGAACAAAAAAUAAUAAAUAUAUACAGGAAUAUAUGUAUAUGUAUAUAUUUUUUUGGGACUGGCAUUUACAAAGACCCUAAAAAGUAAGUAGAGCACAUGGUCAUGGGCUAGGCUUGAUUCUUAUCUGAAAUAUUAAUUAUAUUAUAUAAAAUAACAGACAUUCAUUGCAUGUUUAUAUGUUGCAUUCUAGAGGAACUUAUUUAAAACAGCCACUAAGGCUAAAAGUUUGUUCUCACCCGCAGACCAUUCAAGCCAGGGUGAUACUUCGAGGUUUCUUUGAAGUGUCUUUAGGUCCUCCAUGCAGUCUUGUUGAAGUUAUCAUUUAAACAUGACAAAAUCCAAUUCUGUAUAUCGCACACCCAUGUUGUCAUGUUGCAGUUUGCUGAAUGACAUGUUUCAAGUUGCAGUAAAUAAAAUGUGCACACCAACAACAACAACAGUCAUGAAAAUAUUCAACAAGAUGUGAUGGUAAGAAUUCACCAAAGCUUUUCAUCGUGUAAUUUUUCUUUUGAAAGUGCAAAAGUGUUUUUUAAUGAUUUGUUUUUUUAAAUAAAGAGCAUGACAUCAACCUCAGGAACUCUAUCAUGAUUACACCAAGAUCACAUCAUUUCCAAAUAACUGGUAUGUUUAUUUAAAGUAUCAGUGGCUUCAUAUGUCAUGUUGAGAUAUGUUAGAGAAAGAGUAGAAGCAUAUUAAUAAGCAGAUAUCAUAGGAACCCAAACAUAAAAACAAAACACUUUUAAAUGUCAGAAACAUACAAAUUUAAAGUUGUAAGACAUACAGCUUAUAAUUAGUAUACAACAUUUCUUUCUAAGCUGUGACCCAGAAAACAUCUCUUCCUCUGAGUGGAAACUCUACCAAGCUUUAGACAAAAACCUCCACACAAAAACCACACUGAACAGUUAGUGUGCCAUAGCAGAACUAAGGGCACAUUCUCUUUAUCGCUUUAUUUUUUAAUUUAUUUUUUGUAUUUAAAUCCAUUAUUACCUUUCUGACAGUACAAAGUGUGUAUAAGUACAAAGUAUAACAUAGAAUGACAUCUACUGUGAAAAAUAAAAAAUGAACUACUAUAUUCUUUAAAGUAAUAUGUCUAAUAUGUAAUUCAUGAAUAGAAGGAACAGAUGACAUUAAUGGUUCACUUGAGAUAAAACAUGAAUUUAAGUAUAAUUACAACUAAUUGGACAUUAAAUGUAAAUAAAUGAUUAUUAUUGUAUUAUAAUGAUUUACUUUUAAUGACAUUUUUAUCUGCAGCAGAGCACUCACUUCUGCCCUCUGCUGCAUAAAGGCCUAACCAUUAGUCAAGGGUUGAUUCUCAUUUCUUGCUAUACACUAAAGUACACUAAAUAUUUUAAGUAGAUACAUACUAAAUGUUAGCAUCUCAGUAAACAUCUUCAGAAACAAUGAAGAUGUGUAUUUCACUUCCUCUCUGUAUGGGAAAGUCAACUUGCCCUCUCCUAUGAAACAGUAAAUAGUUUGAAUUAUUUGCUGUGUAGUGAUGUUAUAAAGACAGUCAGCAGCAUUACUGCUUGUGUUAUUAAUUAUUAAGAUAUUAUGUCUGUGUACCAAACCAAAGAAUUUUGUCACUUGAACAAAUGUAUAAUGCAAGGAUAUACUGUAAACACAGGUGUGUUAGCGCAUGUAGUCCAUUAAGGGGCGCCACCAAAGUAAAAUUCCAGCAGUGCUACAUUUGAGACACACAAAAUUCACAGUAGAAAAUAAAGUGAUGAAUAUAUUUUAUUUUAUUUACUGUUAUAUUUUUACACUCCUAAUUAGGCUACCUAGCAUACACACACACACGCACACAAGAAGAGUCUCGGACAGUAAAAAAAAAAACUUACACAUAAGCCCUAUUAAGCAAACAUAAGAAA
Triplophysa rosa is the source of this 5968-nucleotide RNA transcript. RefSeq lists it as uncharacterized. NCBI's taxonomy places the organism in Eukaryota, Metazoa, Chordata, Actinopteri, Cypriniformes, Nemacheilidae. The record is from RefSeq and is a predicted model, not a curated record. The transcript is spliced from 4 exons.